Molecule: ribosomal RNA, 465 nt
Filed under: uncultured bacterium
Lineage: Bacteria
Description: partial 16S ribosomal RNA
Rfam family: Bacterial small subunit ribosomal RNA
Source: RNAcentral
GACGAACGCUGGCGGCGUGCUUAACACAUGCAAGUCGAACGGAAAGGCCCUGCUUGCAGGGUACUCGAGUGGCGAACGGGUGAGUAACACGUGGGUGAUCUGCCCUGCACUUCGGGAUAAGCCUGGGAAACUGGGUCUAAUACCGGAUAGGAGCCAUUUUUAGUGUGAUGGUUGGAAAGUUUUUUCGGUGUAGGAUGAGCUCGCGGCCUAUCAGCUUGUUGGUGGGGUAAUGGCCUACCAAGGCGGCGACGGGUAGCCGGCCUGAGAGGGUGGACGGCCACAAUUGGACUGGGGUACGGCCCAGACGCCCACGGGAGGCAGCAGUGGGGAAUAUUGCACAAUGGGCGCAAGCCUGAUGCAGCGACGCCGCGUGGGGGAUGACGGCCUUCGGGUUGUAAACUCCUUUCGCUAGGGACGAAGCUUUUUGUGACGGUACCUAGAUAAGAAGCACCGGCUAACUACGUG